RNAcentral lists this ribosomal RNA (253 nucleotides) under uncultured bacterium. RNAcentral's name for it is "partial 16S ribosomal RNA". It matches the Rfam family "Bacterial small subunit ribosomal RNA", at positions 524 to 776 of the family's 1533-position model. The record is from RNAcentral.
UACGGGGGGAGCAAGCGUUGUUCGGAUUUACUGGGCGUAAAGGGCGCGUAGGCGGCGUGACAAGUCACUUGUGAAAUCUCCGGGCUUAACCCGGAGCGGUCAAGUGAUACUGUCGUGCUAGAGUGCGGAAGGGGCUACUGGAAUUCUCGGUGUAGCGGUGAAAUGCGUAGAUAUCGAGAGGAACACCUGCGGCGAAGGCGGGUAGCUAGGCCGACACUGACGCUGAUGCGCGAAAGCCAGGGGAGCGAACGGG